RNAcentral lists this ribosomal RNA (265 nucleotides) under uncultured archaeon. RNAcentral describes it as "partial 16S ribosomal RNA". It matches the Rfam family "Archaeal small subunit ribosomal RNA", at positions 717 to 982 of the family's 1478-position model. The record is from RNAcentral.
AGUCACUGACAUUAGAUACCCGUGUAGUCCCAGCCGUAAACAAUGUGCGUUAGGUGUGUCGGUAACCACGCGUUACUGAUGCGCCGAAGAGAAAUCGUGAAACGCACCACCUGGGGAGUAUGUCCGCAAGGAUGAAACCUAAAGGAAUUGGCGGGGGAGCACCGCAACGGGAGGAGCGUGCGGUUCAAUUGGAUUCAACGCCGAAAAACUCACCAGGAGCGACGGAUAUAUGAAGGUCAAGCUGAUGACUUUACCUGAUUUUCCG